GCCGUUGUAGCUCAGCUGGUAGAGCACUUCCAUGGUAAGGAAGGGGUCGCCGGUUCAAUCCCGGCCAACGGCUCCA
RNAcentral lists this transfer RNA (76 nucleotides) under Candidatus Jacksonbacteria bacterium RIFCSPHIGHO2_02_FULL_43_10. RNAcentral describes it as "tRNA-Thr". It matches the Rfam family "tRNA". Rfam says of the family: Transfer RNA (tRNA) molecules are approximately 80 nucleotides in length. Their secondary structure includes four short double-helical elements and three loops (D, anti-codon, and T loops). RNAcentral also lists the same sequence under 2 other names. The record is from RNAcentral. Lineage: Bacteria; Candidatus Jacksoniibacteriota.